Molecule: ribosomal RNA, 460 nt
Filed under: uncultured bacterium
Lineage: Bacteria
Description: partial 16S ribosomal RNA
Rfam family: Bacterial small subunit ribosomal RNA
Source: RNAcentral
CCUACGGGUGGCAGCAGUGAGGAAUAUUGGUCAAUGGACGAGAGUCUGAACCAGCCAAGUAGCGUGAAGGCUGACUGCCCUAUGGGUUGUAAACUUCUUUUAUAUGGGAAUAAAAUGUUCCACGUGUGGGAUUUUGUAUGUACCAUAUGAAUAAGGAUCGGCUAACUCCGUGCCAGCAGCCGCGGUAAUACGGAGGAUCCGAGCGUUAUCCGGAUUUAUUGGGUUUAAAGGGAGCGUAGGUGGAUUGUUAAGUCAGUUGUGAAAGUUUGCGGCUCAACCGUAAAAUUGCAGUUGAAACUGGCAGUCUUGAGUACAGUAGAGGUGGGCGGAAUUCGUGGUGUAGCGGUGAAAUGCUUAGAUAUCACGAAGAACUCCGAUUGCGAAGGCAGUUCACUGGACUGCAACUGACACUGAGGCUCGAAAGUGUGGGUAUCAAACAGGAUUAGAUACCCGGGUAGUU